Molecule: ribosomal RNA, 478 nt
Filed under: uncultured bacterium
Lineage: Bacteria
Description: partial 16S ribosomal RNA
Rfam family: Bacterial small subunit ribosomal RNA
Source: RNAcentral
GACGAACGCUGGCGGCGUGCUUAACACAUGCAAGUCGAACGGGAUUUAGUAAACAGCAGCCUCGGUGGAAGAUUACUAAUGAGAGUGGCGAACGGGUGAGUAACGCGUGAGCAACCUGCCUAUGACAGUGGGAUAGCCUCGGGAAACCGGGAUUAAUACCGCAUAAAAUCGUAGAAACACAUGUUUUAACGGUCAAAGAUUUAUCGGUCAUAGAUGGGCUCGCGUCUGAUUAGCUAGUUGGUGAGAUAACAGCCCACCAAGGCGACGAUCAGUAGCCGGUCUGAGAGGAUGAACGGCCACAUUGGAACUGAGACACGGUCCAAACUCCUACGGGAGGCAGCAGUGGGGAAUAUUGCACAAUGGGGGAAACCCUGAUGCAGCGACGCCGCGUGAACGAAGAAGGUAUUCGUAUCGUAAAGUUCUGUCCUAUGGGAAGAUAAUGACAGUACCAGAGAAGAAAGCUCCGGCUAAAUACGUG